This 151-nucleotide non-coding RNA is filed under the name Pneumocystis jirovecii. Lineage: Eukaryota; Fungi; Ascomycota; Pneumocystomycetes; Pneumocystales; Pneumocystaceae. The record is from RNAcentral.
UUGGAAAGUCCGGUACGAAUUAAGAUAAUUUAUUAUUCUGUUUAAAUGGAAUAGAAUUUUAUUUAAAGAAAUUUGACAUCUUCUGGCGAAAUAGUUUGUUCUUAUCUUCGUACUUUUUUAGAUAAUAAAUAUUUAACAUAAUCCGGCUUAU